AGUGAACGCUGGCGGUAGGCCUAACACAUGCAAGUCGAACGGCAGCACAGAGGAGCUUGCUCCUUGGGUGGCGAGUGGCGGACGGGUGAGGAAUACAUCGGAAUCUACUCUGUCGUGGGGGAUAACGUAGGGAAACUUACGCUAAUACCGCAUACGACCUACGGGUGAUAGCAGGGGAUCUUCGGACCUUGCGCGAUUGAAUGAGCCGAUGUCGGAUUAGCUAGUUGGCGGGGUAAAGGCCCACCAAGGCGACGAUCCGUAGCUGGUCUGAGAGGAUGGUUAGCUACACUGGAACUGAGACACGGUCCAGACUCCGACGGGAGGCAGGAGUGGGGAAUAUUGGACAAUGGGCGCAAGCCUGAUCCAGCCAUACCGCGUGGGUGAAGAAGGCCUUCGGGUUGUAAAGCCCUUUUGUUGGGAAAGAAAUCCAUCUGGUUAAUACCCGGGUGGGAUGACGGUACCCAAAGAAUAAGCACCGGCUAACUUCGUGCCAGCCGCCGCCGUAA
This 506-nucleotide ribosomal RNA is filed under the name uncultured bacterium. RNAcentral describes it as "partial 16S ribosomal RNA". It matches the Rfam family "Bacterial small subunit ribosomal RNA", at positions 29 to 523 of the family's 1533-position model. The record is from RNAcentral.